This 440-nucleotide ribosomal RNA is filed under the name uncultured bacterium. Its description in RNAcentral is "partial 16S ribosomal RNA". It matches the Rfam family "Bacterial small subunit ribosomal RNA", at positions 338 to 795 of the family's 1533-position model. The record is from RNAcentral.
CCUACGGGGGGCAGCAGUGGGGAAUUUUGCACAAUGGGGGAAACCCUGAUGCAGCGACGCCGCGUGAGUGAGGAAGUCUUUCGGUGUGUAAAGCUCUGUCAGCGGGGACGAAACUGGACGUUACUCACUGAGAAAGCCCCGCCAACCACGUUGCAGCCGCCGCGGGUAUACGGAGGGGGCCAGCGUUAUCCGGAUUUCAUGGGUGUAAAGGGGGCGUAGGGGGAAUAUUUAGUCUGGUGUUAAAAGCGGGAGCUCAACUACCGUAGUGCAUUGGAUACUGGCGAGCUAGAGUGUCGGAGAGGUAAGGGGAAUUCCUAGUGUAGCGGUGAAAUGCGUAGAUAUUAGGAGGAACACCAGUGGCGAAGGCGGCUUACUGGACUGUGACUGACGUUGAGGCUCGAAGGCGUGGGGAGCAAACAGGAUUAGAUACCCGAGUAGUC